ACUACAUGCUUUUCAUACAGACUCACAUUUUCAGAGCCAUACAGAAUACAUGAAAAUGGACAAAUAGCAUCCCCUAAAACUCAUCAUGAACUCCUGAAAAGAUCAGCAAACUUGAAGAAAAGGACAAAAUGGAUAACUGAGUAGAACUGGCAUGGAGGAGUACUAUGGACCCUGCUUUUGCACCUCAACGAAAUAAUGAAUUGCUUACAAGGGCAAGAAGAAAGGCCAAAACUAUUUUCAACAAUAGCAAGAGGCAGAAAAAUUAUAUGCUUACUUUUGUUAGCAUUUAGGGAAGUGUGACCAUGUUUAAUAUGUUCAUCUCUGAAGGAGGUGGGGAACAGUAUACAUCUUGUAUACUAGAGAGAUGAAAAACACUUCUGUGGAAAAACGCAUAUACUUCCUAUUUUUCAGGUAUCUAUCAAAUAUCUCCUAUUAAUUCUUUGAACUAGAGAAUGUUCUGCCAGCUGAACUGGCAAUAGUGUGAAAAGGAACUUAUUGGGCUUUGUUAAGUCCUCAGCACACUAACUUAUUUCUGAUAACUGGAAGAAGAGCAACAAGCUCCUCCACAGGCCUUGGCAUAGAGAAAUACAAGUCCUACAUGAAAAACUGUCUUUGAAAUGAAAAAAUGAAUUAUGAAGAUCGUAAAUAAUACAGACAAAAAUCAAUCAAGACACUGCAAAGCAGAAGAACAAAAACCCUUGUAUUUCUGAGAGAUCCCUUGGCACAAGGCACUGAACUAACUCAAUAAAGAUAAUGAACAGACACAACUACAGCAUGACUCUUUCUGGUACAGAUAGAUCAAACUGACGAGUAGGUAGUAAAAAUAAUAAGGUGGAAAUAACUACAGUAUCCCUAAGUCUAAGGAGUUUCACCUGUUGAUCCCAAUUAGCACCAGACCAUGAGUACAAGCUGGAACAUGCACUGUCCUGUUGAAUGAAGGAAGUCAUGGAAGCAAAAGGUAUCCCAUCAGCUAAGAAUAUCUUCCUACUCAAAACUCAGAAUCUGGUUAAAAGAAGGCUCCAGCCCCAUCCUGGCUGGUGUGUCCUGGCCAAAAAUCUAAAGCAGCAUUCAUAAAAUAGGGGUUUUUCCACAAUGCCUCAUCUCAAAUUCCGCCUACAGAUGUAUGAAUUUAGGACUUUGGUUCAUAGUACACUCAUGUAUCAAAAUAAUCAUUUAUAUGCACCAUAGGAAGUGAUACAAUAAAUACAAUUGAUAAGUAAACAAUGAAGAAAAUAGAACCAAUGCUAGCACAUUAAAUCACUGAUAAGGAACCCAAGCAUAUCUGAUUAAAUUUCAAUGAUUUUAUUUCAAUAUACAGUUUACAUCAAAGAAAAAUCUGGCGGUAAGGGUAAGAAGUCUUCUCAGUUCAUAAGAACUUUGAACUUUAUCAGAACUCAAGUAGCAGUCCAAAGUUCUAAAUGAAAACUCAAGUCAUGCUGCUCCAAACCAAAGAAUAGAAAAAAAGCACGAGAAAAAAUUCUGAAUGGUUUUCAUCCUCUUCAGUUCAGGCUGAUUAAAUUCUAUGAUAUUUCAAACUGAGUGAUAUUUUGAUCUAUAAAUACAGAAUUCAUGAUAGAGGCAUAUUACUACCGAAGGGGAGGAAACACAUUCCCUGAUCACGGCAUAGAACUUAAUUUUACUGAAUUAUUACAAAGGGUAACAAAACAGACAUUAAUAGCUCAGCAGAAGAAAUCAGACAAAUCCUGAAGAGGGUAUGUAAUUCAUGCCCUCUAACUUUCAAUGAAUAAGUAGUCUCUUUAAAAUCUGUAUAGACAAAGUCUCUGGGGCUGAGGCUGGUGAAGCACUGGCUGGCCAUGAAGGUCCUCAGCACCUGCCUGGGCACAGCCUUGAGCAAACUGCUUCAAAUUCAAUGUUGCUCUGCUAUAGGCUAAAGGCCCAUCUGAUUUAUCCUACAAAUUCUCUGAUUGCUUUAUCAUUUGUGGGCAGGAUUCAACAACAUUUAAGAAACCUAAGCUUUCUUGGUUUGAUUUUAUAUUCUGCAAUCAGUCUUAAAUGAUAAAAUACUAAUAGAAAACAAUUUCCACUAAAGUAACACAAAGUAUUACUUCUGAUAUAUGAUUCUACUCUGAACAUCAGUGGUACACAGACACUCCAAAGAGUUGGUGAAGAAAUAGUUACUCUGCUUGUUAUUCUGCCUUCAUAAAACAAGUCUUUAUUACAAACAUACUUUGUAAUGGCAUUGUAUAAGCAACAAACGAAAUGUGAUUCAGCUUGACAAAAAUGUAAACAUUUAAUUAAAAUAGAUGAGUUAAUCACAAAAGAUUGCUUAUCAUGUAAUGUAAAAAAGAUAAAGUAAAUCAUUAGGCUAUAAAUAAACGCACAUAACACAUGUU
Long non-coding RNA from Corvus hawaiiensis (hawaiian crow), 2354 nucleotides. RefSeq lists it as uncharacterized. The record is from RefSeq and is a predicted model, not a curated record. The transcript is spliced from 2 exons. NCBI's taxonomy places the organism in Eukaryota, Metazoa, Chordata, Aves, Passeriformes, Corvidae.